UUUUGCGUGCCAAACUAAACUAGCUUUCAUCGCUGCCGGAGCCCUCUCCAAAGUGUGCGCACAUAUUAAAUGCCUAGACCUUUCAAACUGUUUGAACAGGAGAUUAAGGCUUGUAUCUCACACUCUCGCCAAUUUGAAAUAUUCAUGUGAAAAGAGGCCGGGGAUGAGAUGGCCGCGAGUUCUCAUCAGGAAAUAUUUGAUGACAUCAGAAAAACUGCUAACCUGCAAGUAAUUCCUACCAGGGUGUACCAGCCAAGAAGAACGAGCUCCUCCCAUGCAGAAAAGCAGAAACCCCACUCAACUAAACCAUAGACGGAAAGGACUGGAAUCAAAUACGAAGAACAGGGAUCAAUCUACCAAUGAAUGGUCAAGUCACCCCAUCUGCUCCUACCCUUCUGUGCCACACGACGGCUCUUUAAGAGACAGUAUCUGCCUUCUUAAAAUGGGUUUUGUGUGUUUAUGAGUGCUUGCCUGCAUGCUCCACAUGCACCACGCUCGUGCUUGGUACCCGCCCAUCCACGGAGGUAAGAAGAAGGCAUUGUAUCUCCUGGAAGUGGAGUUCGGGAGCUCUGUGAAUCAUCACACGCGUGCCGGGGACUGGAUUGGGUCCUCCGCCAGGGCAAGUGCUCUGCUUUAGCUGCUGAGCCGCCCCUGUAGCCCUGAUAACAUCUCUAUGAAAGGUUUGGGGUCUCCACACAUUGCCCAUUCCCCUGCUGCACACAGCCCUUAUCAUCAGACUCGACAGAAAUCUCGUUUUCUGCCUUAAGCCGUUAAAACAUUUGUUUCAAAGGGAUUUGGACUUUUCUUCGCCGUUUUAUCAUCCACGAGGCCUAUCCACUUAUUUGGUAUAAAAGCUUCACAACUGGCCAGAGAAAUUA
Non-coding RNA from Rattus norvegicus (Norway rat), 878 nucleotides. Lineage: Eukaryota; Metazoa; Chordata; Mammalia; Rodentia; Muridae. The record is from RefSeq and is a predicted model, not a curated record.